This is a long non-coding RNA of Phasianus colchicus (ring-necked pheasant), 1626 nucleotides long. Lineage: Eukaryota; Metazoa; Chordata; Aves; Galliformes; Phasianidae. The record is from Ensembl.
AUGCAGAACAGAGAAAUGAAAAAAAUCCUUGAUGCUCAAAAGGAAAAAACUUUGGCAAAAAAGCACAUGUUUGAAAACCUGAAUAUAAAAUUAUUGGACCUGCAGCAUCAGAUAAGUCUGAAUUCCACGGCAAUACAUAAUGAGGAAAUUCUCAUCACAAAACUGAAAGAAAAGAAGGAACAUUUGGAAAAAAAGAUGGAUCUCAAACAGGCAGACAUGGCAGCGGCCUUGGAAAAGAAAAAUCAGAUUGAUUCUGAGCUACUGCUUGCACAAUCAAAAAUUGCACGAGAAAAAGAGGAUUUUGAUCAGGAACUUGGAAAGGCUAAUGAAUAUCUACAAAACGCUGAAUGCCUGAACAACAAACUUAAAUUGGAAAACAAAGCUGUGCACCAGAAGUUUGAGCGAGCACUGGAAGAAGAAAAACACUGGGCCAGAAGAAGAGAUGAGAUGGAGGCAAAAAUGUCCAGGGAAAGUAAUGCAAAGGAACUGGCAUCUCUAGAGCAAAAAUUGAAGGCAGAAAAUAAGAUGAGAGUGAUGCUUCAGUGGAAGCUACUGUACUUAGCAAAGCAAAGCAAACUCUUUUUUUUGGAGGAGGAGAAUAUAAGCAGAAGAGUGAAUGAAAGGAUAGACACUGGUGAGAAAAGGCAUGCUGAAUUACUUCUGGAGACCGAAGAGCUUGAAAAAGAACUUCUUCAGUCUGAAAAGCAAAUCAAAGCGCUGACUGAAGAAGCAAUAAAGAGAAAAAAUGAUUACAGGAGUUAUAAUGAAGAUUUUACUAAUAAAAUAAAAUACCUGGAGGAUGACAUCAGAACUGCAAGUGAAAAUCUUCUUAAAAUAGAACACAAGUUUAAGGUGAGCAGGCUAACUUUGGAAGAAACCCAGAAGGAAAGAGAAGAGAAGUAUGCAGAAUACAAAGAGUUGAGGAAAUCAUUUUUGAAAAAGAAAGAUGAAGAGUUACGAAUCCAAAGAGCCAUUCAGAAAUCAAUCAAGACCACUGGGAUGCUCAAGGAGGAAAUUCUGGAGCUACGGAAGCAAUUGUGCAUCAAGCGUGAUGCUGCAGUCAGCCAGCUGAAACAUCAAACUGAGAGUAUGAAGUUGCUAGAAAGAGACAUCUAUGAGAUCAACAGAAAACUUGACAUUGUGAACACCGAGAACUGCAGAUUCAAAUUAUGCAAUGCACAGAUGAAAGAAGAUAUCCUGGCAAUGAAUUCUGAAGCAGAAGGCCACCAGUCAGCAAUAGUGAAAAUUGGGCAUGACCUGGCAGUGCUUCAUGGUAAUCUUAAUUACAGCUUCCAAACAAAAAGUUUGGUAUUUCAGCCUUUGUAUCUUCUUCACAGAACAACCUACCAUAACUUAACUGUUAACUCUGUUGCAGGUUUUCUGCUGGAGAGAUGGUCAGAGGACAGCUCUCUUCAGAAGGAAUUUCUGGAGAAUGAGCAGGAAAUUCUGAAUGCAGUGACAGCCCUACUAAGAAAAAUCCAGCAUAGAGAGGAAAAGAUUGGUGACAUUAACAGCAGGCUACAAAAUAGUCUGGAAGGAAUGGAUUCUCUGCUUGAAAAAAAAUCUAGAAUGGAUGAUGAUGGUAAGAUACACCAAAACUUUUUCACUUUGUUUUUUCAGUCCUAG